AGCGCAUACGGUGGAUGCCUUGGCAGUCAGAGGCGAUGAAAGACGUGGAAGCCUGCGAUAAGGCUCGGGGAGCUGGCAAACAAGCUGUGAUCCGGGCAUCUCUGAAUGGGGAAACCCACCGGUCUUCGGACCGGUACCGUACGGUGAAUACAUAGCCGUACGGGGCGAACUCGGGGAACUGAAACAUCUAAGUACCCGAAGGAAAAGAAAUCAACCGAGAUUCCCUCAGUAGCGGCGAGCGAACGGGGACCAGCCCUUAAGCUGGACAACUGGUAGGAGAAGGCCCUGGAAAGAGCCGCCAUAGUGGGUGAUAGCCCCGUAUCCGAAACCUGAGUCCAGUGAAAUCGAGUAGGACGGGACACGAGACAUCCUGUCUGAACAUGGGGGGACCAUCCUCCAAGGCUAAAUACUCCUGACUGACCGAUAGUGAACCAGUACCGUGAGGGAAAGGCGAAAAGAACCCCUGUGAGGGGAGUGAAAUAGAUCCUGAAACCGUAUGCGUACAAGCAGUCGGAGCGGACUUGUUCCGUGACGGCGUACCUUUUGUAUAAUGGGUCAGCGACUUAUGUUCAGUGGCGAGGUUAACCGUUUAGGGGAGCCGUAGGGAAACCGAGUCUGAAUAGGGCGAUUUAGUCGCUGGGCAUAGACCCGAAACCGGGCGAUCUAUCCAUGAGCAGGUUGAAGGUUGAGUAACAUCAACUGGAGGACCGAACCCACUGUCGUUGAAAAGCCAGGGGAUGACUUGUGGAUCGGAGUGAAAGGCUAAUCAAGCCCGGAGAUAGCUGGUUCUCCCCGAAAGCUAUUUAGGUAGCGCCUCGGACGAAUACCACAGGGGGUAGAGCACUGUUUCGGCUAGGGGGUCAUCCCGACUUACCAACCCGAUGCAAACUCCGAAUACCUGUGAGUACUAUCCGGGAGACACACGGUGGGUGCUAACGUCCAUCGUGAAGAGGGAAACAACCCAGACCGCCAGCUAAGGUCCCCAAAUACCAGUUAAGUGGGGCUAGGAGGUUGGCUUAGAAGCAGCCAUCCUUUAAAGAAAGCGUAAUAGCUCACUAGUCGAGUCGGCCUGCGCGGAAGAUGUAACGGGGCUCAAACUGGUUACCGAAGCUGCGGCUGUGCACGUAAGUGCACGGGGUAGGGGAGCGUUCUGUAAGCCUGCGAAGGUGUGUCGAGAGGCAUGCUGGAGGUAUCAGAAGUGCGAAUGCUGACAUGAGUAACGACAAUGGGGGUGAAAAACCCCCACGCCGGAAGACCAAGGGUUCCUGCGCAACGCUAAUCGGCGCAGGGUGAGUCGGCCCCUAAGGCGAGACCGAAAGGUGUAGUCGAUGGGAAACGGAUUAAUAUUUCCGUACCUUGGAUAGCUGCGAUGGAGAGACGGAGAAGGCUAGGUGAGCCGGGCGACGGUUGUCCCGGUUUAAGCAUGUAGGCAGUGGGAUUAGGCAAAUCCGGUCCCACAAUGCCGAGACGCGACGACGACUGCCCUUUUAGGGCGGGAAGUCAUUGAUGCCCUGCUUCCAGGAAAAUCUUCUAAGCUUCAGGCUAUUCGAGACCGUACCCCAAACCGACACAGGUGGUCAGGUAGAGAAUACCAAGGCGCUUGAGAGAACUCGGGUAAAGGAACUAGGCAAAAUGGUGCCGUAACUUCGGGAGAAGGCACGCCGGUGGUAUGUGACGCCCUUCGCGGGUUGAGCAGAAGCCGGUCGAAGAUACCAGGCCCCUGCGACUGUUUAUUAAAAACACAGCACUGUGCAAACACGAAAGUGGACGUAUACGGUGUGACGCCUGCCCGGUGCCGGAAGGUUAAUUGAUGGGGUUAGCGCCGGUAAACGGCGGCCGUAACUAUAACGGUCCUAAGGUAGCGAAAUUCCUUGUCGGGUAAGUUCCGACCUGCACGAAUGGCGUAACGAUGGGGGCGCUGUCUCUACCCGAGACUCAGUGAAAUUGAAAUCGCCGUGAAGAUGCGGUGUAUCCGCGGCUAGACGGAAAGACCCCGUGAACCUUUACUAUAGCUUCACAGUGAACUUUGAGCAUGUUUGUGUAGGAUAGCUGGGAGGCUUUGAAACCAGGACGCCAGUUCUGGUGGAGCCAACCUUGAAAUACCAGCCUGACCUGUUUGAGGUUCUAACUUCGACCCCUUAUCGGGGUUAAGGACACUGUGUGGUGGGUAGUUUGACUGGGGCGGUCUCCUCCCAAAGCGUAACGGAGGAGCACAAAGGUGGGCUAAGCAUGGUCGGACAUCAUGCGGUUAGUGUAAUGGCACAAGCCCGCUUAACUGCGAGACAGACACGUCGAGCAGGUACGAAAGUAGGUCAUAGUGAUCCGGUGGUUCUGUAUGGAAGGGCCAUCGCUCAACGGAU
Molecule: ribosomal RNA, 2360 nt
Filed under: hydrothermal vent metagenome
Description: bacterial LSU rRNA
Rfam family: Bacterial large subunit ribosomal RNA
Source: RNAcentral